This 253-nucleotide ribosomal RNA is filed under the name uncultured bacterium. Its description in RNAcentral is "partial 16S ribosomal RNA". It matches the Rfam family "Bacterial small subunit ribosomal RNA", at positions 524 to 776 of the family's 1533-position model. The record is from RNAcentral.
GCCGUAGGGCGCGAGCGUUGUCCGGAUUUAUUGGGCGUAAAGAGCUCGUAGGCGGCUCGUUGCGUCGGCUGUGAAAACCCACAGCUUAACUGUGGGCCUGCAGCCGAUACGGGCGAGCUAGAGUUCGGUAGGGGAGACUGGAAUUCCUGGUGUAGCGGUGAAAUGCGCAGAUAUCAGGAGGAACACCGGUGGCGAAGGCGGGUCUCUGGGCCGAUACUGACGCUGAGGAGCGAAAGCGUGGGGAGCGAACAGG